UGUGGCAAAUUAUUGACCUCUCUUUUUUAGCCUUCCAAAUUUAUCCUGGGUUGUGGGAGUUGGAAAGAGAGAAAUCUUCUCAGACUCAAGAGGGUUUGAUUUGCAGCCUUAGAAGAAGCCUAGAUGGAUGUGAAAGCAAGUACAGACCAAUAGCAACAGGAGAGAGAUAUCAGAGCACCCUGCAAACUGGAGACCGUGGGCACUGUCCUAGGAAUUGUGAAAGCUGGAGCUGA
RNAcentral lists this long non-coding RNA (233 nucleotides) under Taeniopygia guttata (zebra finch). RNAcentral's name for it is "lncRNA (ENSTGUG00000026200.1)". Lineage: Eukaryota; Metazoa; Chordata; Aves; Passeriformes; Estrildidae. The record is from RNAcentral.